GAUUAACGCUAGCGGCAGGCCUAAUACGUGCAAGUCGAGGGGCAGCGGGAGUAGCAAUACUUGCCGGCGACCGGCGCACGGGUGCGUAACGCGUAUGCAACUUACCCACAACAGGUGGAUAGCCCAGAGAAAUUUGGAUUAAUACACCGUAGUAUAUUGAUGUGGCAUCACAUUAAUAUUAAAGAUUUAUCGGUUGUGGAUGGGCAUGCGUCCCAUUAGCUAGUUGGCGAGGUAACGGCUCACCAAGGCGACGAUGGGUAGGGGAUCUGAGAGGAUUAACCCCCACACUGGUACUGAGACACGGACCAGACUCCUACGGGAGGCAGCAGUAAGGAAUAUUGGACAAUGGUGGCAACACUGAUCCAGCCAUGCCGCGUGCAGGAUGACGGCCCUAUGGGUUGUAAACUGCUUUUAUUCGGGAAUAAACCUCAGUGCGUGUACGGAGCUGAAGGUACCGAAUGAAUAAGCAUCGGCUAACUUCGUGCCAGCCGCCGCCGUAA
Molecule: ribosomal RNA, 500 nt
Filed under: uncultured bacterium
Lineage: Bacteria
Description: partial 16S ribosomal RNA
Rfam family: Bacterial small subunit ribosomal RNA
Source: RNAcentral